RNAcentral lists this non-coding RNA (227 nucleotides) under Bacillus manliponensis. RNAcentral describes it as "T-box sequence". It matches the Rfam family "T-box leader". Rfam says of the family: Uncharged tRNA acts as the effector for transcription antitermination of genes in the T-box leader family. T-boxes are found upstream of many aminoacyl-tRNA synthetase genes and some amino acid biosynthetic genes usually in Gram-positive bacteria. Lineage: Bacteria; Bacillati; Bacillota; Bacilli; Caryophanales; Bacillaceae. The record is from RNAcentral.
AAUUGAGCGUGGAAAGGGAGAAGUAGUGAUCAUUUCCCUGUUUUAGAGAGCUGAUGGUCGGUGAAAAUCAGCACAUAGAUGAUCGCGAAUUACAACUCUGGAGCAUCUUUCUUCGAUUGAACGAUAUUCAAAAGGGGAAAGACGGUGAUGAGCCGUUAUGUGAAUGAAGUGGUAGGCUUAUUUUGCCUGCAACUAGGGUGGUAUCGCGAUCAAAAAUCGUCCCUUAU